CUCCUGCCACCACUAAUUAUAGGAGGUCCCGCCUGCCCUGUGACCAAAAGUUUAACGGCCGCGGUAUUUUAACCGUGCAAAGGUAGCGCAAUCAAUUGUCUUUUAAAUGGAGACCUGUAUGAAUGGCAUAACGAGGGUUUAACUGUCUCUUUUUCCCGGUCAAUGAAACUGAUCUACCCGUGCAGAAGCGGGUAUUUACACAC
This 203-nucleotide ribosomal RNA is filed under the name Alosa alabamae (Alabama shad). Its description in RNAcentral is "partial 16S ribosomal RNA". It matches the Rfam family "Bacterial large subunit ribosomal RNA", at positions 1820 to 2076 of the family's 2925-position model. Lineage: Eukaryota; Metazoa; Chordata; Actinopteri; Clupeiformes; Clupeidae. The record is from RNAcentral.